Molecule: ribosomal RNA, 253 nt
Filed under: uncultured bacterium
Lineage: Bacteria
Description: partial 16S ribosomal RNA
Rfam family: Bacterial small subunit ribosomal RNA
Source: RNAcentral
UACGGAGGGGGCUAGCGUUGUUCGGAAUUACUGGGCGUAAAGCGCACGUAGGCGGCUUUGUAAGUUAGAGGUGAAAGCCCGGAGCUCAACUCCGGAACUGCCUUUGAUACUGGCAAUCUCGAGUCCGGAAGAGGUUAGUGGAAUUCCCAGUGUAGAGGUGAAAUGCGUAGAUAGUGGGAAGAACACCAGUGGCGAAGGCGGCUAACUGGUCCGGUACUGACGCUGAGGUGCGAAAGCGUGGGGAGCAAACAGG